This 564-nucleotide ribosomal RNA is filed under the name Methylobacterium sp. GIC46. RNAcentral's name for it is "bacterial SSU rRNA". It matches the Rfam family "Bacterial small subunit ribosomal RNA", at positions 65 to 670 of the family's 1533-position model. Lineage: Bacteria; Pseudomonadati; Pseudomonadota; Alphaproteobacteria; Hyphomicrobiales; Methylobacteriaceae. The record is from RNAcentral.
AGCGGGCACCUUCGGGUGUCAGCGGCAGACGGGUGAGUANCACGUGGGAACGUACCCUUUGGUUCGGAAUAACGCUGGGAAACUAGCGCUAAUACCGGAUACGCCCUUUUGGGGAAAGGCUUGCUGCCGAAGGAUCGGCCCGCGUCUGAUUAGCUAGUUGGUGGGGUAAUGGCCUACCAAGGCGACGAUCAGUAGCUGGUCUGAGAGGAUGAUCAGCCACACUGGGACUGAGACACGGCCCAGACUCCUACGGGAGGCAGCAGUGGGGAAUAUUGGACAAUGGGCGCAAGCCUGAUCCAGCCAUGCCGCGUGAGUGAUGAAGGCCUUAGGGUUGUAAAGCUCUUUUGUCCGGGACGAUAAUGACGGUACCGGAAGAAUAAGCCCCGGCUAACUUCGUGCCAGCAGCCGCGGUAAUACGAAGGGGGCUAGCGUUGCUCGGAAUCACUGGGCGUAAAGGGCGCGUAGGCGGCCAUUCAAGUCGGGGGUGAAAGCCUGUGGCUCAACCCACAGAAUUGCCCUUCGAUACUGUUUGGCUUGAGUAUGGUAGAGGUCAGAUGGAACUGC